Molecule: transfer RNA, 68 nt
Filed under: Eurhadina cuii
Lineage: Eukaryota; Metazoa; Arthropoda; Insecta; Hemiptera; Cicadellidae
Description: tRNA-Gln
Source: RNAcentral
UGUAGAUAAAUGUAUGAUGCAUAUGAAGUUUUGAGUUUCAAAGUUAAGUUUAAUUCUUAAAUCUGCAA